This 490-nucleotide ribosomal RNA is filed under the name Dujonia zeylanoides. Its description in RNAcentral is "eukaryotic LSU rRNA". It matches the Rfam family "Eukaryotic large subunit ribosomal RNA", at positions 108 to 603 of the family's 3401-position model. The record is from RNAcentral. Lineage: Eukaryota; Fungi; Ascomycota; Pichiomycetes; Serinales; Debaryomycetaceae.
CUCAAAUUUGAAAUCUAGCACUUUCAGUGUUCGAGUUGUAAUUUGAAGAAGGUAACUUUGGUUUUGGCUCUUGUCUAUGUUCCUUGGAACAGGACGUCACAGAGGGUGAGAAUCCCGUGCGAUGAGAUGCCCAAUUCCAUGUAAAGUGCUUUCGAAGAGUCGAGUUGUUUGGGAAUGCAGCUCUAAGUGGGUGGUAAAUUCCAUCUAAAGCUAAAUAUUGGCGAGAGACCGAUAGCGAACAAGUACAGUGAUGGAAAGAUGAAAAGAACUUUGAAAAGAGAGUGAAAAAGUACGUGAAAUUGUUGAAAGGGAAGGGCUUGAGAUCAGACUUGGUAUUUUGCGUUCCCUUCCUUUUUGGUUGGGUUCCUCGCAGUUUACUGGGCCAGCAUCGGUUUGGAUGGUAGGAUAAUGACAUUGGAAUGUAGCUUUACUUCGGUGAAGUGUUAUAGACUUUGUUGAUACUGCCUAUCUAGACCGAGGACUGCGUCUU